RNAcentral lists this ribosomal RNA (165 nucleotides) under uncultured bacterium. RNAcentral's name for it is "partial 16S ribosomal RNA". It matches the Rfam family "Bacterial small subunit ribosomal RNA", at positions 1336 to 1500 of the family's 1533-position model. The record is from RNAcentral.
UAGUAAUCGUGGAUCAGCAUGCCACGGUGAAUACGUUCCCGGGUCUUGUACACACCGCCCGUCACACCAUGGGAGCUGGUAACACCCGAAGUCAGUAGUCUAACCGCAAGGAGGACGCUGCCGAAGGUGGGAUUAGCGACUGGGGUGAAGUCGUAACAAGGUAAC